This 252-nucleotide unclassified non-coding RNA is filed under the name uncultured Paenibacillaceae bacterium. RNAcentral describes it as "contains 16S-23S intergenic spacer region". It matches the Rfam family "Bacterial small subunit ribosomal RNA", at positions 524 to 776 of the family's 1533-position model. Lineage: Bacteria; Bacillati; Bacillota; Bacilli; Caryophanales; Paenibacillaceae. The record is from RNAcentral.
UACGGAGGGUGUAAGCAUUGAUCGGAAUUAUUGGGCGUAAAGCGCGCGCAGGCGGUUUCUUAAGUCUUGUGUUUAAUCCCGGGGCUCAACCUCGGUUCGCAUGGGAAACUGGGAGACUGGAGUGCAGGAGAGGAAAGUGGAAUUCCACGUGUAGCGGUGAAAUGCGUAGAGAUGUGGAGGAACACCAGUGGCGAAGGCGACUUUCUGGCCUGUAACUGACGCUGAGGCGCGAAGGCGUGGGGAGCAAACAGG